GACGAACGCUGGCGGCGUGCUUAACACAUGCAAGUCGAACGGAAAGGCCCUGCUUUUGUGGGGUGCUCGAGUGGCGAACGGGUGAGUAACACGUGAGUAACCUGCCCUUGACUUUGGGAUAACUUCAGGAAACUGGGGCUAAUACCGGAUAGGAGCUCCUGCUGCAUGGUGGGGGUUGGAAAGUUUCGGCGGUUGGGGAUGGACUCGCGGCUUAUCAGCUUGUUGGUGGGGUAGUGGCUUACCAAGGCUUUGACGGGUAGCCGGCCUGAGAGGGUGACCGGCCACAAUGGGACUGGGAUACGGCCCAGACUCCUACGGGGGGCAGCAGUUGGGAAUAUUGCACAAUGGGCGGAAGCCUGAUGCAGCAACGCCGCGUGCGGGAUGACGGCCUUCGGGUUGUAAACCGCUUUCGCCUGUGACGAAGCGUGAGUGACGGUAAUGGGUAAAGAAGCACCGGCUAACUACGUG
This 468-nucleotide ribosomal RNA is filed under the name uncultured bacterium. RNAcentral describes it as "partial 16S ribosomal RNA". It matches the Rfam family "Bacterial small subunit ribosomal RNA", at positions 28 to 507 of the family's 1533-position model. The record is from RNAcentral.